This 494-nucleotide ribosomal RNA is filed under the name uncultured bacterium. RNAcentral's name for it is "partial 16S ribosomal RNA". It matches the Rfam family "Bacterial small subunit ribosomal RNA", at positions 28 to 504 of the family's 1533-position model. The record is from RNAcentral.
GAUGAACGCUGGCGGCGUGCCUAAUACAUGCAAGUCGAGCGAACAGACGAGGAACUUGCUCCUCUGACGUUAGCGGCGGACGGGUGAGUAACACGUGGAUAACCUACCUAUAAGACUGGGAUAACUUCGGGAAACCGGAGCUAAUACCGGAUAAUAUAUUGAACCGCAUGGUUCAAUAGUGAAAGACGGUUUUGCUGUCACUUAUAGAUGGAUCCGCGCCGCAUUAGCUAGUUGGUAAGGUAACGGCUUACCAAGGCAACGAUGCGUAGCCGACCUGAGAGGGUGAUCGGCCACACUGGAACUGAGACACGGUCCAGACUCCUACGGGAGGCAGCAGCAGGGAAUCUUCCGCAAUGGGCGAAAGCCUGACGGAGCACCGCCGCGUGAGUGAUGAAGGUCUUCGGAUCGUAAAACUCUGUUAUUAGGGAAGAACAAAUGUGUAAGUAACUAUGCACGUCUUGGCGGUACCUAAUCAGAAAGCCACUGCUAACUAC